GGGUCCGUGGUCUAGUUGGUUAUGACGUCGCCCUCACAUGGCGGAGGUCGCCGGUUCGAAUCCGGCCGGGCCCA
This 74-nucleotide non-coding RNA is filed under the name Methanosarcinales archaeon Met12. RNAcentral's name for it is "tRNA-Val". It matches the Rfam family "tRNA". From Rfam's summary of the family: Transfer RNA (tRNA) molecules are approximately 80 nucleotides in length. Their secondary structure includes four short double-helical elements and three loops (D, anti-codon, and T loops). Further hydrogen bonds mediate the characteristic L-shaped molecular structure. tRNAs have two regions of fundamental functional importance: the anti-codon, which is responsible for specific mRNA codon recognition, and the 3' end, to which the tRNAs corresponding amino acid is attached (by aminoacyl-tRNA synthetases). tRNAs cope with the degeneracy of the genetic code in two manners: having more than one tRNA (with a specific anti-codon) for a particular amino acid; and 'wobble' base-pairing, i.e. permitting non-standard base-pairing at the 3rd anti-codon position. Lineage: Archaea; Methanobacteriati; Methanobacteriota; Methanomicrobia; Methanosarcinales. The record is from RNAcentral.